UUGAAUUAUUUGUUAUUCUAUUUUGUUUUUUUCAUGGAUGGGCAACGGAAUGUGGAUAAUUCUUGGCAUGGAGUCAUAGAAAAGAAGCUAUUCAUGUGUACACCUCGUGAAGUUGUCCAUGUAUACGCCUUGAGUAAAUUGUCCAUUUGGACGUCUCAGUUGUCCAUGUGGACGUCUCAGUUGGUGGGAAUGAGGUUGGUUUCUACGCAAGAAUCAUUCACCAGCAUUGGCUUGGUUGUAUCCUCAAAGCUUCCCAGAUUCUAUGAGGCACUCUCAGCAUAGAAUGCAAAAUCAAUUCCAGCAUAGAAAGUCAGUUGAGUUCAGUUAACCAAAAUCAACGUAGCAUCAUCCUUGUUCACAGCCUUUGUAAGAGUGUCUCAGGCAUAUGUUUCACUAUUAACGUGUACAUUAGUUCACAAACACCCAUAUGUACACCGGUUUAUGAACAUCGACGUGUAGACAUUUCAAAAUUGUUUUAAGUAUUUGAUGAACAAAUAAGCUUGAACACUUGAUUGGUACCUUGGCUGAGGUGAGCUUAAGGCAUCAGAAUCAGUCGUAAGCACUCCACUCUGCAAACGAUUCCCAUACAUCACUAAGAACAAAGUAAGGAGGCCUAAACACAUCAGUUAACAAUAUCCACAUGUACACUAUCCGUGAUAAUCACAUGUACACAUGUACAUUGUGAAGUUGGUGUACACAUAAGCUGGUGUCCACAUAUACAUUGUGAAGUUGUUGUACUCUCAAUCCAAUGGGUUGCUAUGGCAGUUUAUGAACAAGCUCUCUCUGCUUAUCUACACUCAUUCCACAACUUUCUGAUGUCACCUGGAAACCACUACAACAAACCAUUUACAAUAAAAGUUGUUUUUAACAUCGAUUGACACCACAUAGCUACAUGUACAAAAGAACGAAAAAAUAGGAAAAAUAUCAACAUAUGGUGUAGCAAUCGAAGUAGCUAACUCAAAA
This is a long non-coding RNA of Brassica napus (rape), 963 nucleotides long. RefSeq lists it as uncharacterized. The record is from RefSeq and is a predicted model, not a curated record. The transcript is spliced from 2 exons. Lineage: Eukaryota; Viridiplantae; Streptophyta; Magnoliopsida; Brassicales; Brassicaceae.